GUUUCAGACAAUAUAAGCAUCACUGUCGAGAGCUUUUCAGUGAACGAUGAAGAAAAUGUUUUUUAAAUUAGUUUUGCUCUGUUUGUGUUUGUGGCAUCUGGAUGGUGUGUUUGGUGUUGGUGAAAUGAAUUAUGUGACAGUGAAGGAGGGAGAUUCAGUCACUCUAAACUCCAAUCUUACUGAAUUAAUGGAUAAUGAUGUGAUUCUGUGGUGGUUUUUGAUUGAAAACACUUUAAUAGCUGAAAUCAAUGUCACGGCCGACAGAAUCACUGUAUAUGAUGAUGUUCUUGAUGGGAGAUUCAGAGACAGACUGAAGCUGGACAAUCAAACUGGAUCUCUGAAUAUCACAGACGUCACAACUGAAGAUUCUGGACAUUAUUUACUACCGAUAAACCACAUUAGCAUAAUUUUCACUCUCUUUGUCUUUGAAGUGAAGCCAGUGUCAGUGAAGGAGGGAGAUUCAAUCACUCUAGAAUCUGGUCAUACUGAAAUAAUGGAUAAUUAUCAGAUUGUGUGGACGUUUUUAGGUGAAAUCACUGUAAUAGCUGAAAUCAAUAAACGGGACGACAGAAUCACUGUAUAUGAUGAUGUUCUUGAUGGGAGAUUCAGAGACAGACUGAAGCUGGACAAACAAACUGGAUCACUGACCAUCACAAACAUCAAAACUGAAGAUUCUGAAUAUUAUUCAGUAAUGAUUAAAGGAGCAAACCCGUCACUAAAAUUAUACAGUGUUUCUGUCUAUGGUGAGUGGAAAUAAUUGGUCCUGUCCUUCAAAUAUUCUUGAUAUUAAUGGUUAUUGAUGUUUAUGUGGAAACAAUAGUGUCUGGAUCUUGGCUGAAUGGAGUUGUAAGUUUGUUGGUCUUGUCUUGUUCUACCAGAAAUUGGUC
This is a long non-coding RNA of Ctenopharyngodon idella (grass carp), 887 nucleotides long. RefSeq lists it as uncharacterized. The transcript is spliced from 3 exons. NCBI's taxonomy places the organism in Eukaryota, Metazoa, Chordata, Actinopteri, Cypriniformes, Xenocyprididae. The record is from RefSeq and is a predicted model, not a curated record.